GUUUUUCACGGGCAUGGUGAAGGAUCCGCGGUCGGUGUUCCAGGAUCCACAGUGGGAGAUCAAACCCACAAAUAUCGUUAAUGGUCGUGGUGAAGUGGUCGGAUCAUUCUGGCAUCGCGGUUCAUAAGCCGGAAUUAAAGCACAAUCGCCAUUGACCAUUGACAUCGAAGACAUCGACUACUAUCUCCACGUUCGACAACGUGCUGUUGGCGCAGCUUGCGCACCCCGAUUUUCAGGCAUGGGUUGUGCUUGCACAGUUAAUAGACGCUACCGGGGAACCGGGGGAAGCUUUUGUUGUGAGUAUACUUUGCGAUAAAAGUAAACCGCCCGCACCGGUUCUCCUCGGCCCGGUGUGUGAGGAAGCCGACCGGUUACGUCAACGCGCAAACAUUGAAACACGAGCUGUGCUUGCCGAUGCAGAGGCACGUGCGCUCGUGGAAGAGACGUUCGCACAAAACGCAUACCACGGAUGCACAAAAUGCACAAUUGAGGGUGUGAGAUUCGGUCGAAGAGUUUCCUUCCAUGAUAACACCGCCGCGCAACCCCGAACGCACCCGUCGUUUGUGGGACACGCAUAUGAGGGCACAAACGCACACCCACGACGACACCGUUGGAGCUGCUGGGUAUAAAUCUCAUUAAGGAUGUCAGUAUUGCAGACGAUCGGCAUGUGCUCCA
Long non-coding RNA from Anopheles cruzii, 675 nucleotides. RefSeq lists it as uncharacterized. The transcript has 3 exons. The record is from RefSeq and is a predicted model, not a curated record. NCBI's taxonomy places the organism in Eukaryota, Metazoa, Arthropoda, Insecta, Diptera, Culicidae.